GGCCUUUUGAAUUUAAUAUAAGGUCUGACCUGCCCAGUGAUGAGUUUAACGGCCGCGGUAUACUGACCGUGCAAAGGUAGCAUAAUCAUUAGUCUUUUAAUAGAGGGCUGGAAUGAAAGGUUUAACGAGGAACUGGCUGUCUCAUUUUAUAUGUUUUAAAAUUUAAUUUUUUAGUUAGAAAGCUAAAAUAACAUUGGUAGACGAGAAGACCCUAUAGAGCUUUACAUAUAAUUAUAUAAAUAUUUUUAUAUUAAUAUUUUUAUUUAAUCUUAUGUUUUGUUGGGGUGACAAAAAUAUAAAAAUAACUUUUUUAUUUAUUAUACAUUGAUUUAUGAAUAUUAGAUCCAUUAUUAUUGAUUAUUAGACUAAGUUACCUUAGGGAUAACAGCGUAAUCCUCCUCCAGAGUUCAUAUUUACAGGAUGGGCUUGCGACCUCGAUGUUGGAUUAAGAUAAUAAUUAGGUGUAGCCGCUUAAUUAAUAGGUCUGUUCGACCUUUAAAUUCUU
This 505-nucleotide ribosomal RNA is filed under the name Orthetrum lineostigma. Its description in RNAcentral is "partial 16S ribosomal RNA". It matches the Rfam family "Bacterial large subunit ribosomal RNA", at positions 1819 to 2597 of the family's 2925-position model. The record is from RNAcentral. Lineage: Eukaryota; Metazoa; Arthropoda; Insecta; Odonata; Libellulidae.